AUUGAACGCUGGCGGCAGGCCUAACACAUGCAAGUCGAACGGUAACAGGAAGAAGCUUGCUUCUUUGCUGGCGAGUGGCGGACGGGUGAGUAAUGUCUGGGAAACUGCCUGAUGGAGGGGGAUAACUACUGGAAACGGUAGCUAAUACCGCAUAAUGUCGCAAGACCAAAGAGGGGGACCUUCGGGCCUCUUGCCAUCGGAUGUGCCCAGAUGGGAUUAGCUAGUAGGUGGGGUAACGGCUCACCUAGGCGACGAUCCCUAGCUGGUCUGAGAGGAUGACCAGCCACACUGGAACUGAGACACGGUCCAGACUCCUACGGGAGGCAGCAGUGGGGAAUAUUGCACAAUGGGCGCAAGCCUGAUGCAGCUAUGCCGCGUGUAUGAAGAAGGCCUUCGGGUUGUAAAGUACUUUCAGCGGGGAGGAAGGGAGUAAAGUUAAUACCUUUGCUCAUUGACGUUACCCGCAGAAGAAGCACCGGCUAACUCCGUG
Molecule: ribosomal RNA, 490 nt
Filed under: uncultured bacterium
Lineage: Bacteria
Description: partial 16S ribosomal RNA
Rfam family: Bacterial small subunit ribosomal RNA
Source: RNAcentral